AACGAACGCUGGCGGCAGGCCUAACACAUGCAAGUCGAACGCUGUAGCAAUACAGAGUGGCAGACGGGUGAGUAACGCGUGGGAACCUUCCCAGUGGUGCGGAAUAGCUCAGGGAAACUUGAGGUAAUACCGCAUAAGCCCUUAGGGGGAAAGAUUUAUCGCCAUUGGAUGGGCCCGCGUCGGAUUAGCUAGUUGGUGAGGUAAUGGCUCACCAAGGCAACGAUCCGUAGCUGGUUUGAGAGAAUGACCAGCCACACUGGGACUGAGACACGGCCCAGACUCCUACGGGAGGCAGCCUGAGACGCCAAGGCACACAGGGGAUAGG
RNAcentral lists this ribosomal RNA (325 nucleotides) under uncultured Pseudomonadota bacterium. RNAcentral describes it as "bacterial SSU rRNA". It matches the Rfam family "Bacterial small subunit ribosomal RNA", at positions 29 to 381 of the family's 1533-position model. The record is from RNAcentral. Lineage: Bacteria; Pseudomonadati; Pseudomonadota.